Molecule: ribosomal RNA, 136 nt
Filed under: uncultured bacterium
Lineage: Bacteria
Description: partial 16S ribosomal RNA
Rfam family: Bacterial small subunit ribosomal RNA
Source: RNAcentral
GAGGCAGCAGUGGGGAAUAUUGGACAAUGGGGGAAACCCUGAUCCAGCCAUGCCGCGUGUGUGAAGAAGGUCUUAGGAUUGUAAAGCACUUUAAGUUGGGAGGAAGGGCAGUUAACUAAUACUUGACUGUUUGACG